UUUGGAGUGUCUGGUUCGAUCAGAGCAAAAGGGGCGACCAGGGAACUCCCCUUCAAACCCUAGCUCUUACAAAAACUCACAAUUGAAGGCUCCAAUCAAGUCCAAAUCGAAAUCUGAAUGUAGAUUAGUGAUCACCUCGUUGAAGGGAUCAUAAGGCGAGGAAUCCGGAUCGUCGAGUGGACAAGCCGGAGAAGAUACGCGUUUGAAGGGUGCGCUUUAAUGGUGAUGUUCGUUAGCUACGGAUGCCGAUCAAGCGUGAAAAAGAAUCGAACACUAUUUUUGAAGACUUCCGCGCUAAUCUAUUCUAGCUAGACUAUGUUUUUUUUUUUGAAAACUUUAUUAGUAGUGAAUGUUUUAAACUAGAAGGUUGGUUAUGUUAAACCGCCUAAACAAUGUUUAUCUUAACUUGUUAAUUAAGUUUUGGUAAGUAUGCAUUCUGUUUUAAAAA
Helianthus annuus (common sunflower) is the source of this 448-nucleotide long non-coding RNA. RefSeq lists it as uncharacterized. NCBI's taxonomy places the organism in Eukaryota, Viridiplantae, Streptophyta, Magnoliopsida, Asterales, Asteraceae. The record is from RefSeq and is a predicted model, not a curated record. The transcript is spliced from 3 exons.